CCUCCCUCCCAGACCCUCCUACUUCCUGGACAGCAUCCGUGUUGGAUGCUGUCCAGGAAAUAGGAGGGUCUGGGAGGGAGGGUCUGCUG
RNAcentral lists this microRNA precursor (89 nucleotides) under Pelobates cultripes (western spadefoot toad). Lineage: Eukaryota; Metazoa; Chordata; Amphibia; Anura; Pelobatidae. The record is from RNAcentral.